This is a long non-coding RNA of Suricata suricatta (meerkat), 218 nucleotides long. RefSeq lists it as uncharacterized. NCBI's taxonomy places the organism in Eukaryota, Metazoa, Chordata, Mammalia, Carnivora, Herpestidae. The transcript has 3 exons. The record is from RefSeq and is a predicted model, not a curated record.
AAAGUCACUGGGGGAAAACCAAACAUUCCAAGCAAGAUGACCACGGGACUGCAUGGAGCCUCCUCUAAUUAGGUAUAUUGCCAGGAUCAUCCAGGGCUGACCUGUUUCAGGUGAGAAAAAUGCCAUCAGCUGAUGUGUUGACCACGCAAAGAAGUGAUACACACUGCUUCAGAGGAAAAUCUGGGAAUAUGGAGCUCUAUAAAAUCUGGGAAUAUGGA